This 1260-nucleotide long non-coding RNA is filed under the name Durio zibethinus. RNAcentral's name for it is "long non-coding RNA (DZIB_LNC001232)". Lineage: Eukaryota; Viridiplantae; Streptophyta; Magnoliopsida; Malvales; Malvaceae. The record is from RNAcentral.
CAAGAAGAACAAUAAAUUAUGGUAUUAAGAAACUGGGUCAGAUAUAUGCAGCAUUCUCCUACUAUACUUGUCUAAUGACUAAUGAGCAUUAAUCAAUACUGAUACCUGUCAUUACAACAGACAUUUAACCUUUAUACACUAUCAUCUCCUGAGAGCCCCAAGGCGAAUAUACAAAACUUUUCCCAAAUUUAAACUGAAGAUGGAUAGUCUUACUUCUACACAAUGGGAUUCCCAUCUACCAUAUCAUAAAAGCCUCAAAUGUCAAAGUUCACGACCUUGAUUGUCAGAAAUUUAUCAAGCUAACAUAGACAGAGUGCAAAUUUAAUUAUACAUGUACAAUUUCUCGAGGAUUAUACAUCAUCAAAAUCGAAGAUCACUGCAAAAACAUAGAUUAUUCCUCUUUGUUAUAAUAAAGAAACCCUCAACCUUGUCAUGAAAUGCCCUUAUGUCAUAAUUCAUGAUCUGGUAGGCCAAUUAUCCAACAAAUAGAAGAAACAAAAUCUCAAUCAUAUUAUGAUCUAUACCAUGAACUUAAGGGAAGAAUAAGUGAUAAAAACGCAAUUCAUCAUUCAGUAAUGGCAGUAACAAAAGAAUAUCAAAUUAAUGCCAUUUGAAAGAAUGCCAAGAAUUACAAGUUUACACAUUUAAGCACGUAACAGGUUACUCUUGUGAUAUCUAAUUAGGUAUAGAUAAAAAAAGAGUAACUUGGGAUCAAGUUUUGCAAGCUAUCGACUAGAAAACACUCAGGUCAACAAAAAAAUAAAAAAUAAAAACAAUUUUCUAUCUCUCAUUGACAAAUCACUGAGUGCAUGUUGAUUCACAAAAAACAGUUUACAUAUCUGUUAGUCGACAACUAGAAUGGACCAUAAAAAUGUAGCAAGUUAUACUUACACUCUCCUUUAACUAUUUUAAUGCCACUGUUUGGCAUCUCACCUUUAUCUUCUUCUUAGACGGUCAAAGAAAUGACUUUGAAAUUCAUUCACAAAGAUGUUACACGAAAAUGUUUCAGUAACAUAACAAAAGCAAUUGGAAAUGAAAGAAAACAAAGUAAAUGUUCAUGACCAAUAUUUGAAUUUUUUUCAUGUAUUUCUAGUACGACUCUAUCUAAGUCUCACAUAUAAUAUAUAUACAGAAUCAAAUUCUUACUAGGUUAUCUUCUAAAUCGAGAUCCUUUGUUUGGUCUGUCAGAAUUCCUCCCAUCCCCUGCAGAGGCCCAGAAGAACAGAGACAUCCAGAAAAGAACAGCAAAGAAGAUCUGAA